RNAcentral lists this ribosomal RNA (464 nucleotides) under uncultured bacterium. RNAcentral describes it as "bacterial SSU rRNA". It matches the Rfam family "Bacterial small subunit ribosomal RNA", at positions 23 to 532 of the family's 1533-position model. The record is from RNAcentral.
CUCAGAACGAACGCUGGCGGCAGGCUUAACACAUGCAAGUCGCACGCUUUCUUCGGAAAGAGUGGCGCACGGGUGAGUAACGCGUGGGAACGUGCCCUGAAGUACGGAAUAACACAUGGAAACGUGUGCUAAUACCGUAUACGCCCCAAGGGGGAAAGAUUUAUCGCUUCAGGAUCGGCCCGCGUCCAAUUAGAUAGUUGGUGAGGUAACGGCUCACCAAGUCGACGAUUGGUAGCUGGUUUGAGAGGAUGAUCAGCCACACUGGGACUGAGACACGGCCCAGACUCCUACGGGAGGCAGCAGUGGGGAAUAUUGGACAAUGGGCGGAAGCCUGAUCCAGCCAUGCCGCGUGAGUGAAGAAGGCCUUCGGGUUGUAAAGCUCUUUCAGACGUGAAGAUUAUGACGGUAACGUCAGAAGAAGCCCCGGCUAACUUCGUGCCAGCAGCCGCGGUAAACGCACUCGU